Molecule: ribosomal RNA, 417 nt
Filed under: Xanthoparmelia conspersa
Lineage: Eukaryota; Fungi; Ascomycota; Lecanoromycetes; Lecanorales; Parmeliaceae
Description: eukaryotic LSU rRNA
Rfam family: Eukaryotic large subunit ribosomal RNA
Source: RNAcentral
AUUGACCUCGGAUCAGGUAGGGAUACCCGCUGAACUUAAGCAUAUCAAUAAGCGGAGGAAAAGAAACCAACAGGGAUUGCCUCAGUAACGGCGAGUGAAGCGGCAUCAGCUCAAAUUUAAAAUCUGGCCCCGUCGGGGUCCGAGUUGUAAUUUGUAGAGAGUGCCUCGGGUGAGGCCCCGGUCUAAGUCCAUUGGAACAUGGUGUCAUAGAGGGUGAGAAUCCCGUAUGCGACCGUGGCUCGAGCCCAUGUGAAGCCUCUUCGACGAGUCGAGUUGUUUGGGAAUGCAGCUCAAAAUGGGUGGUAAAUUUCAUCUAAAGCUAAAUACUGGCUGGAGACCGAUAGCGCACAAGUAGAGUGAUCGAAAGAUGAAAAGCACUUUGGAAAGAGAGUCAAAAAGUACGUGAAAUUGUUGAAA